This 254-nucleotide ribosomal RNA is filed under the name uncultured bacterium. RNAcentral describes it as "partial 16S ribosomal RNA". It matches the Rfam family "Bacterial small subunit ribosomal RNA", at positions 524 to 776 of the family's 1533-position model. The record is from RNAcentral.
UACGGGGGGAGCAAGCGUUGUUCGGAUUUACUGGGCGUAAAGGGCGCGUAGGCGGUCAGCACAAGUCAGUUGUGAAAUCUCCGGGCUUAACUCGGAAAGGUCAACUGAUACUGUGGGGCUAGAGUGCGGAAGGGGCAACUGGAAUUCUCGGUGUAGCGGUGAAAUGCGUAGAUAUCGAGAGGAACACCUGCGGCGAAGGCGGGUUGCUGGGCCGACACUGACGCUGAGGCGCGAAAGCCAGGGGAGCGAACGGG